Transfer RNA from Felis catus (domestic cat), 73 nucleotides. It matches the Rfam family "tRNA". Rfam says of the family: Transfer RNA (tRNA) molecules are approximately 80 nucleotides in length. Their secondary structure includes four short double-helical elements and three loops (D, anti-codon, and T loops). The record is from Rfam. Lineage: Eukaryota; Metazoa; Chordata; Mammalia; Carnivora; Felidae.
GCCUGGCUGGCUCAGCGGGUAGAGCAUGUGACUACUGAUCUUAGGGUUGUGAGUUCGAGCUCCACGUUGGGUA